AUUCGAUCGUGUCAGCGCAAAAAUGGUGAACCCAGCACAAAACGAAAGUGAGAUCCAACAGUCAUCUGUUGAACUUGCACACAGACGACAAAAAGCUGCAGAACAUUUCUUUAGGAUGUCCAUUGUUGACAGCACUUUCAGCAGGUAGCAUCGUCUUUGGAAUUGUAAUGAUUGUCUAUUUAGACCGAAGUUUUAGUUUCUCGGUGGACACAGGCGCUCUUAUAUGGUCGGGAGCAGUGCUCUUGCUCAGUGGUAUGUCUUGUUAUUUUGUCUCUAAGAUGGAUAUUAAUAAUAGAAAUCUGCCAUCUU
Saccostrea cuccullata (small rock oyster) is the source of this 309-nucleotide long non-coding RNA. RefSeq lists it as uncharacterized. NCBI's taxonomy places the organism in Eukaryota, Metazoa, Mollusca, Bivalvia, Ostreida, Ostreidae. The transcript has 3 exons. The record is from RefSeq and is a predicted model, not a curated record.